RNAcentral lists this small nuclear RNA (105 nucleotides) under Cavia aperea (Brazilian guinea pig). The record is from RNAcentral. Lineage: Eukaryota; Metazoa; Chordata; Mammalia; Rodentia; Caviidae.
GUGGUUGCUUCAAACGUACAUAUACUAAAAUUAGAACCAUACAGAGAAGAUUAGCAUAGCCCUGUGUAAAAAUGCAUAUAGAUUCAGGCAGUGUUCCAUAUUUUU